RNAcentral lists this non-coding RNA (21 nucleotides) under Arabidopsis thaliana (thale cress). Lineage: Eukaryota; Viridiplantae; Streptophyta; Magnoliopsida; Brassicales; Brassicaceae. The record is from RNAcentral.
GGUGAUUUGGUUAGAUAGGUU